CAAUAGCGUAUAUUUAAGUUGCUGCAGUUAAAAAGCUCGUAGUUGGAUUUCGGGUGGGAAUGGCCGGUCCGCCGUUUCGGUGUGCACUUGCUACGCCCACCUUGCUGCCGGGGACGUGCUCUUGAGUUCACGCUCGGGACACGGAGUCGGCGAGGUUACUUUGAGUAAAUUAGAGUGUUCAAAGCAGGCCUACGCUCUGAAUACAUUAGCAUGGAAUAACACGAUAGGACUCUGGCCUAUCUUGUUGGUCUGUAGGACCGGAGUAAUGAUUAAGAGGGACAGUCGGGGGCAUUCUUAUUUCAUUGUCAGAGGUGAAAUUCUUGGAUUUAUGAAAGACGAACUACUGCGAAAGCAUUUGCCAAGGAUGUUUUCAUUAA
This 377-nucleotide ribosomal RNA is filed under the name uncultured eukaryote. Its description in RNAcentral is "partial 18S ribosomal RNA". It matches the Rfam family "Eukaryotic small subunit ribosomal RNA", at positions 592 to 976 of the family's 1831-position model. The record is from RNAcentral.